GACAUGCUCAAUGGUAGAUGGAGCCUAAGUUUGACCGUCCAUCUUAUUUAAAAUUAUUUUAUUAUUAGUAUUUUUAUUUUUAUUAGAUAAUAAAUUAAAUACGAAUAGUACUUUAUGCAUGACUUAUUUUUUUAGUUUUUUUAGAAAAUUUUCAAAUAAAACGGACGGCCAAACGUUAGAUAAGGAAACCCAUAACUAUAUUUAAA
Non-coding RNA from Oryza glumipatula, 206 nucleotides. Lineage: Eukaryota; Viridiplantae; Streptophyta; Magnoliopsida; Poales; Poaceae. The record is from Rfam.